RNAcentral lists this ribosomal RNA (2999 nucleotides) under Eutreptiella gymnastica. The record is from RNAcentral. Lineage: Eukaryota; Euglenozoa; Euglenophyceae; Eutreptiales; Eutreptiaceae.
AGGUUAAAUAAAAAGGGCUUAUAGAGGAUACCUUGGCACUUAUUGGCGAUGAAGGGCGUAUUAAGCGACGAAAUGCUUCAGUGAGCUGCAAAAAAGCUUUGACCUGGAGAUCCCCGAAUAGGGCAACCUUUAAAACUACUUCGGUGAAUUUUAUAGCCAAGUAAGAGCAAACCCAGUGAAUUGAAACAUCUUAGUUAGCUGGAGGAAUAAAAAGCAAACGCGAUUUCCUUAGUAGCGGCGAGCGAAGCGGAAUAAGUCUAAACCGUUUAUACGGUGUUGUGGGACAGAAACAUUGAGCAUUUUAGUCUAAGGAUAAUCUUGUUGGAAAACAGAGCUUUAGCAGGUGAUAGCCCUAUAUCUUCAAGACUAUUUGUUAUAAUUUGUAUCCCAAGUAGCAUGGAGCACGUGAAAUUCUGUGUGAAUCUGCGAGGACCACCUCGUAAGACUAAAUACUCAUAAGUGACCGAUAGUGAACAAGUACUGUGAAGGAAAGGUGAAAAGAACCUCGGGAGAGGAGUGAAAUAGAUCAUGAAACUAUAAGCUUACAAGCAGUAGGAGAUUUACUUAAAGAUUGACUAUGUGCCUGUUGAAGAAUGUGUUGGCGACUUUUAGGUAGUGGCAGGUUAAGAUUAUAAAAUCGAAUCCAAAGUGAAAGCGAGCUUGAAUGAAGCGUAAGUCUCUAUUUAAAGACCCGAACCUGGGUGAUCUAAUCAUGGCCAGAAUGAAGCUUGGUUAAACCUAAGUGGAAGGUCGAACCCACUGAUGUUGAAAAAUCAGGGGAUGAGCUGUGAUUAGGGGAGAAAUUCCAAUCGAACUCAGAGAUAGCUGGAUCUCCUCGAAAUGUGUUGAGGCACAGCAUUUAACUAUGAGCUGCUUAGGGGUAAAGCACUGUAUCUGUGCGGGCUUCUAACGAGGUACCAAAUGGUAGCAAACUCUGAAUACUAAGCAUGCAUUCAGUUGAGUAGUGAGACAGUGGGGGAUAAGCUUCAUUGUCAAGAGGGAAACAGCCCAGAUCACCAGAUAAGACCCCAAAAUAACAGCUAAGUGGCAAAGGAUGUGUUGACACAUAGACAACCAGGAGGUUUGCCUAGAAGCAGCCACCCUUUAAAAAGUGCGUAAUAGCUUACUGGUCAAGUGUCUUCGCGCCAAAAAUGAACGGGACUAAGUUGUUUGUCGAUGCUGUGAGAUGAAAUAUCGGUAGAGGAGCGUUCUGUAUUAGGUUGAAGUAAAAUCGAAAGGGUUUAUGGACGAAUCAGAAGUGAGAAUGUCAACUUGAGUAACGAAAAUAUUGGUGAGAAUCCAAUACCCCGAAAACCUAAGGUUUCCUCUAGAAGGCUCGUCCGUGGAGGGUUAGUCAGGACCUAAGGCGAGACCUAACGGUGUAGUCGAUGGAUAACAGGUUAAUAUUCCUGUACUGUCUUUACUUUAGUCAAGAGUGACGGAGAAGGCUAGGCUAGCUGGAUGUUGGUUUCCAGUUUAAGCUUUUAAGGUGUUGAAGAAUGUAAAAUAAUAUAUUCUGAGCUAAGGAGUGAAUACGAAAUACUAAGGUAUUACAAGUAGCUGAUGCCAUACUUCCAAGAAAAGCUCUCGUGACAUAUGGGUAAAGAUACCUGUACCUAAAACUGACACAGGUAGGUAAGCAGAGAAUGCUAAGGGGCGUGAGCUAACUCUCUCUAAGGAACUCGGCAAAAUGACUCUGUAACUUCGGGAGAAGGAGUGCCCUUUAACAAGGGUCGCAGUGACUAGUCCCAUGCAACUGUUUACCAAAAACACAGGUUUCUGCAAAGUCGAAAGACAACAUAUAGAAGCUGACACCUGCCCAGUGCCGGAAGGUUAAGGAAGUGGGUUCAAUGCUCGCGACUCAAGCCCCGGUGAACGGCGGCGGUAACUAUAACCGUCCUAAGGUAGCGAAAUUCCUUGCCAGGUAAGUUCUGGCCUGCACGAAAGGUGUAAUGAUGUGGGAGCUGUCUCAGAGAGAGGCUCAGUGAAAUAGAACUGACUGUGAAGAUGCGGUCUACCUGGAUUUGGACAGAAAGACCCUAUGCAGCUUUACUGUUGCUUGGAAUUGGUUUUAAACUUUUUUUGCGCAGAAUAGGUGGGAGGCAAUGAAGUUAUUCUUUUGGGAAUAAGUGAGCCAUUAGUGAGAUACCACUCUAAAAGAGUUAGAAAUCUAAUAAUGUUCCUUGAAUCAGGACAUUUGACAGUUUCAGGUGGGCAGUUUAACUGGGGCAGUUACCUCAUAAAAAGUAACUGAGGUGUGCAAAGGUUCUCUCAGGCUAGACGGAAAUUAGCUGUAGAGUGUAAAGGCAUAAGAGAGCUUAACUGCAAGACCUAUAAGUCGAGCAGAAACGAAAGUUGGCCUUAGUGAUCCGAUGAUAUCAAGUGGAAGAGUCAUCGCUCAACAGAUAAAAGUUACGCUAGGGAUAACAGGCUGAUCUGCACCAAGAGUUCACAUCGACGUGCAGGUUUGGCACCUCGAUGUCGGCUUGUCGCAUCCUGUGGCGGAAGCACGUCUCAAGGGUUGGGCUGUUCGCCCAUUAAAGCGGCACAUGAGCUGGGUUCAGAACGUCGUGAGACAGUUCGGUCCAUAUCCGGUCCAGGCGUUAGAGUAUUGAAAGGAUUUUUUGUUAGUACGAGAGGACCAUAAAAAACAUGCCUCUGGUGUACCAGUUCUUGUGCCAACGGGACAUGCUGGGUAGCCACGCAUGCAUGGAUAACUGCUGAAAGCAUAUAAGUAGGAAGCCUACCUUGAGAUGAGUACUCUCUAUUUUGUAAGAUCACAGCUAGACUAGCUGUUUAUUAGGUAUCAAGUAUAAGAUUAGUAAUAAUUGUAGCUGAGAUAUACUAACAGAUCGAGAAUUUAACCUUAAAAAACUUCUUGGUGUUUAUAGUGCAUUGGACCCACGCUAAAAUCCAUUUCGAACUUAGUUGUGAAAUAGUGUCACGGAAAAUAUACUUUAGGGGAAACUCUAUGGGAAACUAUCUCGAUGCCAGGAUUU